AGAGUUGAUCAUGGCUCAGGAUGAACGCUAGCUACAGGCUUAACACAUGCAAGUCGAGGGGCAGCAGAUCGAUAGCUUGCUAUUGAUGCUGGCGACCGGCGCACGGGUGAGUAACGCGUAUCCAACCUUCCCUAUAGUAGAGGAUAGCCCGGCGAAAGUCGGAUUAAUACUCUAUGUUUUCCAAUGCAGACAUCUAAGUUGGAACAAAGGUUCACCGCUAUAGGAUGGGGAUGCGUCUGAUUAGGUUGUUGGCGGGGUAACGGCCCACCAAGCCUACGAUCAGUAGGGGUUCUGAGAGGAAGGUCCCCCACAUUGGAACUGAGACACGGUCCAAACUCCUACGGGAGGCAGCAGUGAGGAAUAUUGGUCAAUGGGCGAGAGCCUGAACCAGCCAAAAGUAGCGUGCAGGAUGACGGCCCUAUGGGUUGUAAACUGCUUUUAUACGGGGAUAAAGUGAGGGACGUGUCCCUUUUUGUAGGUACCGUAUGAAUAAGGACCGGCUAAUUCCGUGCCAGCAGCGGC
RNAcentral lists this ribosomal RNA (522 nucleotides) under uncultured bacterium. RNAcentral's name for it is "bacterial SSU rRNA". It matches the Rfam family "Bacterial small subunit ribosomal RNA", at positions 8 to 518 of the family's 1533-position model. The record is from RNAcentral.